Molecule: transfer RNA, 76 nt
Filed under: Atopobium sp. oral taxon 416
Lineage: Bacteria; Bacillati; Actinomycetota; Coriobacteriia; Coriobacteriales; Atopobiaceae
Also listed under: 1 other name
Description: tRNA-Met
Rfam family: tRNA
About the family: Transfer RNA (tRNA) molecules are approximately 80 nucleotides in length.
Source: RNAcentral
UGCGGGGUGGAGCAGUUGGUAGCUCGCCGGGCUCAUAACCCGGAGGUCGUUGGUUCAAAUCCAGCCCCCGCGACCA